Molecule: ribosomal RNA, 253 nt
Filed under: uncultured prokaryote
Description: partial 16S ribosomal RNA
Rfam family: Bacterial small subunit ribosomal RNA
Source: RNAcentral
UACGGGGGAUGCAAGCGUUAUCCGGAAUUAUUGGGCGUAAAGCGUCCGUAGGUGGCUAUACAAGUCUGUUGUCAAAGCGUGCGGCUUAACCGCAUACGGGCGAUGGAAACUGUAAAGCUAGAGUGCGAUAGGGGUCAGGGGAAUUCCCGGUGUAGAGGUGAAAUUCGUAGAUAUCGAGAGGAACACCGGUGGCGAAGGCGGCCAACUGGACGAGUACUGACGCUGAGACACGAAAGCGUGGGGAGCAAACAGG